CAGUCGCCGCGGUAAUACGAAGGGGGCUAGCGUUGCUCGGAAUCACUGGGCGUAAAGCGCACGUAGGCGGCUUUCUAAGUCAGAGGUGGAAUCCUGGAGCUCAACUCCAGAACUGCCUUUGAUACUGGAGAGCUUGAGUUCGGGAGAGGUGAGUGGAACUGCGAGUGUAGAGGGGAAAUUCGUAGAUAUUCGCAAGAACACCAGUGGCGAAGGCGGCUCACUGGCCCGAUACUGACGCUGAGGUGCGAAAGCGUGGGGAGCAAACAGGAUUAGAUACCCCCGUAGUCCCUGUCUCUUAUAC
RNAcentral lists this ribosomal RNA (301 nucleotides) under uncultured bacterium. Its description in RNAcentral is "partial 16S ribosomal RNA". It matches the Rfam family "Bacterial small subunit ribosomal RNA", at positions 509 to 807 of the family's 1533-position model. The record is from RNAcentral.